CGAGAUAUAGGCUGCAAAAACACGGCAGUUGCGGCUGCGGACAGUACCGCUCCGUUACCUUGCAGCGCUCGCCUUUGAGAUUGGCGCAGUCAUGGGCGGGUGUUAUGCGUGUGUCGUUGUCGUCCAUCAGAACAGGUCCGCAGUGUGGUCGCGCAGGCCGGCCGCUCGGUGUUUCCGAAUAUGAGUUUUCAUUUCCAUCGCUUUGGAAGUGCUCGCGCCAUCGCAAUCGCUUCGUCUUCGGUAAGCGAAGAAAUAAAUCUCUUAAUUUCCAAUGGAUCGUCCUCAGAGCAUUUGUCACAUAACGUAAAACCUGAAUAACCCAUUGGCUUUCCACAGCGUUCACA
RNAcentral lists this unclassified non-coding RNA (344 nucleotides) under uncultured bacterium. RNAcentral describes it as "contains 16S-23S intergenic spacer region". The record is from RNAcentral.